UUCACCUCCUAUUAUCACUAUCACCAUUCAAGAGUUUGGAAAAGAUGACACAUAUCCCUCCAUUCAACUUGAAGCUCACGGCUUCAUAUUAACUCAAGCACCUCACCCUUUUACUAUAAAUAGCCACUAUAUGUCUCAUUUCCAAACCACACCAUCAUCAAUCAUCAUGAAUCUUCAAUUAACGUAAUCUUAGCACUAUAACAAGAUAUCAAGGAAUUUAAGCAACACAAGCAUAGGGAAUUGAAGGUUAAUGGUUUUGGAGUUCUUGCUAGGAAGGAUAUUUUGAUCUUGUUACAUCGUGAAUCUGAAUUCAUUGUCUCAUUAGUCAUCACUUUCUCUCGGUCAUCAUCAUUUUCACUGUUGCUAGAGGAAAUUAAAUGCUCGGAGCAUAAGUAGAAGAAACAUGCUUUAUGGGAGUCACACAUGCAUUCACUAACGGAUAAAGAUUUUCUAGAAUUUCUAUUAAAUCAUCUUGUAGAUACUCUAGAAUAAGUCUUGUACACUUCAUGUAAGAUCUUGGUUUUAUAUCAAUAUUAUUUCAAAACGUCUAAUUUA
Erigeron canadensis is the source of this 555-nucleotide long non-coding RNA. RefSeq lists it as uncharacterized. NCBI's taxonomy places the organism in Eukaryota, Viridiplantae, Streptophyta, Magnoliopsida, Asterales, Asteraceae. The record is from RefSeq and is a predicted model, not a curated record. The transcript has 2 exons.